AGAGUUUGAUCCUGGCUCAGGAUGAACGCUGGCGGCGUGCCUAACACAUGCAAGUCGAACGAAGCACCUUACCUGAUUCUUCGGAUGAAGGUCUGGUGACUGAGUGGCGGACGGGUGAGUAACGCGUGGGUAACCUGCCCUGUACAGGGGGAUAACAGCUGGAAACGGCUGCUAAUACCGCAUAAGCGCACGAGGAGACAUCUCCUAGUGUGAAAAACUCCGGUGGUACAGGAUGGGCCCGCGUCUGAUUAGCUGGUUGGCAGGGUAACGGCCUACCAAGGCAACGAUCAGUAGCCGGUCUGAGAGGAUGAACGGCCACAUUGGAACUGAGACACGGUCCAAACUCCUACGGGAGGCAGCAGUGGGGAAUAUUGCACAAUGGGGGAAACCCUGAUGCAGCAACGCCGCGUGAGUGAAGAAGUAUUUCGGUAUGUAAAGCUCUAUCAGCAGGGAAGAUAAUGACGGUACCUGACUAAGAAGCUCCGGCUAAAUACGUGCCAGCAGCCGCGGUAAUACGUAUGGAGCAAGCGUUAUCCGGAUUUACUGGGUGUAAAGGGUGCGUAGGUGGCAGUGCAAGUCAGAUGUGAAAGGCCGGGGCUCAACCCCGGAGCUGCAUUUGAAACUGCUCGGCUAGAGUACAGGAGAGGCAGGCGGAAUUCCUAGUGUAGCGGUGAAAUGCGUAGAUACUAGGAGGAACACCAGUGGCGAAAGCGGCCUGCUGGACUGUUACUGACACUGAGGCACGAAAGCGUGGGGAGCAAACAGGAUUAGAUACCCUGGUAGU
Molecule: ribosomal RNA, 784 nt
Filed under: uncultured bacterium
Lineage: Bacteria
Description: bacterial SSU rRNA
Rfam family: Bacterial small subunit ribosomal RNA
Source: RNAcentral